Macleaya cordata is the source of this 198-nucleotide small nuclear RNA. It matches the Rfam family "U2 spliceosomal RNA". Rfam says of the family: U2 is a small nuclear RNA (snRNA) component of the spliceosome (involved in pre-mRNA splicing). Complementary binding between U2 snRNA (in an area lying towards the 5' end but 3' to hairpin I) and the branchpoint sequence (BPS) of the intron results the bulging out of an unpaired adenosine, on the BPS, which initiates a nucleophilic attack at the intronic 5' splice site, thus starting the first of two transesterification reactions that mediate splicing. Lineage: Eukaryota; Viridiplantae; Streptophyta; Magnoliopsida; Ranunculales; Papaveraceae. The record is from Rfam.
AUACCUUUCUCGGCCUUUUGGCUAAGAUCAAGUGUAGUAUCUGUUCUUAUCAGUUUAAUAUCUGAUACGUGGGACAUCGUCCCACAUGAUAUUAAAUUAAUUUUUUUCUUGGGGGAGGUCCCACCACAAUAGCUUGCUAUUGGGGUCCUCUAGCGUCGCCCAUGUGUUGCACUACUGCAAGGGCCUGGCGCACCCCCA